This 1540-nucleotide long non-coding RNA is filed under the name Citrus maxima (pomelo). Its description in RNAcentral is "long non-coding RNA (CMAX_LNC001083)". Lineage: Eukaryota; Viridiplantae; Streptophyta; Magnoliopsida; Sapindales; Rutaceae. The record is from RNAcentral.
CCCGACCCGCCCGGGCCCUCACACUAAACAUGAAGUGGGCUCAAGCUUGGUCUUGAAAAAGCCCAGCCCAAACCCAAUGUUUGUCAUCCCUAAUAUUGAGUACUCCCAACGAGUGACUCUACAACAUUUCAUGAUUGCCACCCAUGGCUACGGUACCCUCCUGAGACGCAGUUGUCUCUGACAAUUUAUGCUUUUUUAGCUCGCCCCCGCCACCAUCGCUCCAGCCGCCACUAGUACCUAGUCACCAAACCACCAACCCAACCGCUCAUCGCUCCCAACAAAACAGACGUUUCUCUGGUCGGUGUUUUUCUUUUGUUUUUAUUUUAUUUUAUUUUAUUUUCAAUCUCCUAUUUAUUUUUAUGUUUCGAUUUUUUUUCUUUUUUUGUUGUUGUUUAAUUUCCUUUUCUUUAUCGGUUGAUUCUUAGGUAUUUUUUAUCCGCUUUUCUGAUAUCCUUCAUGGUUGUAUACUUGUAUAUGGUGUCUAACUCAAAGCUUGGAUCAAAAUCGUGUCGAUGUUUGAAUCAAGAGGUACACCUAUAUUAAUUGCAGUAAUAGUGGUGCAUUGAUAUUUUGGUGACCUAAUGCGAGGUACUGAUGGCAUGGACUGAGGGCUCAUCAAGAGGCUUGCCGGAAAUACUUUAGAUGAGGUAGUUAUCAUUGUUGAGUUUUUUGUGUUUUUUUGGUUGUGUUUAUAGUUAAUAUUAGAAAAGGUUUCACCUAUGUUAGUUGAGAUUUUGCGAUUCAUAAAAUUCAUUUUCGUUUUAAAACAAUUUUAAUAAGUGAAAUUAAUUUUCUCUUUUCAAUUUGUAAUUAUACUUGUAGUUAAGAGCCGUCUUAACUCAAACUUGGGUCAUAAGUUUUAGGCCCCGUUUGGGAUUGCUUUUGGGAGGGUUAAAAGUGAUUUUAAAAAUCUAAAAGCUAAUUUUGGUGUUUGGUAAAAGAAAAUCAAAAUCACUUUUGCCAGAAUCAGCUCCUCCUACAGCUGAUUUUGAAAAGCAGGGCAAGAGUAACUUUUAGAUUCUGAUUUUGAGAAUCAAUUUUAUCCUUUAAUAUAAUUUCAUAAAUAUCCUUACAAUUAUUACUUAAACCCGAAAUUAUCCUUAGUUAAAUUAGAAAUAAAAUCAAUAUUUUAAUAAAUUUUUAUUAUAAUUAACGCACACCUUUCGUUUACCCUAUUUCUUCAUAUUUUGUGUUCUAUCAAAACUUCUCUAGUGCAAGUAAAUUUAUUUUCUUACAGCAUUUUUAUAUGUAUAAGUAAAUUUCAUCUUACAUUAUGUACAUUUUGGUCAUUUAUUUUCUUACAGCAGUUUAACAAUAAAAUUUACCAAACACCCAUAACUGCUUUCAAAAUUCACAGUACUUUUGAAAAUAAAAAUUACCAAACACUUAACUGAUUCUCUUCACAGCUGAUUAUUUCUACAGCACAGCUAACAGCAAUUAUUUUAAAAGCUGCAGCAUUACUAAACUGGCCCUUAUUCUAGUAUUAUAAUUAAAUUUAAUGUAGUCAUAUUUUUAUCAAUGUGACAUUAUAUUGUCUGCC